UUAACACCUGGUCUUCCUGAAUGAGGGACCUCUUGCUUCCGAUAAGAGUUCAACUUUCCAGUUCCGCCUCUGACCUGAUCCUUUAGUUCCAUGGGGAAGAGCAUCUUUGGUUCUUCCGUCACUUCAGGUUUCGAUAUGCAGAGUUGCAUUGCAAUUCCCACUUGAUUAUUGUCUGGAAACAGUGAGAACUACAAAGUGACUCCACCUACAUUGCCUGCCAUAAUGAUUUAAGAGAAGAAGGAGAUUAGUGCAGCAAUUUUGCAGCAAUAAAGGCCACCUUGUGGAAGAUGACUGAGAGCAGCUGAAGACUCCCAAAAAUCAGUUGUAAACCUUUCAUCACAGAAGCUAUAACUGUCUGCUGCUGCUUCUCACCACCUCCACCUCCACCACAAGCAGAAUGAUAAAGGAAACCCUUCAUCCAGAGGAUUUAUUUUGAGAUGAGAGAUUGAAAAUUUUUCAGUUUUAAAGGACGAAUAUGAAUGAAUGAUCUAGGUUACUAGAAAUCAAAUGUUUCAUGUGCUGAAACUACAAAGAUGAGUAAGAUGUGGUUCUCUAUACUUAAGGAAUUUUGUCUUAUUGUGACAUGACAAAUUGAAGCAAUUUUUAAAAUUUUGAACCUAAAUUUAGAGCUAGAUUUUAGAAAUUCUGUAUUUUUCUCUCUCUAAAAUACCUUUAUCAUUACAGUGUGUAAGGGAAUCAAGUCCAAUAGUUACUUGUUCAGCAGUGGCCUGUUGUAUACUAUACAGCUUAAGGAAAGAAGGAUAAGGAUAGUUCUAUUCUUCUUCUGUCACCAACCAGCAAGUGGACCUGGACAGGCCAUAUUGACCUCACUGAGUCUCAGAUUUCUCACAUCAGAUUAAGGGUUUGUUUUGCAAUGAUAUUUGAAAUUGCUUCUGUUGAGUGAACCAGAAGAUCAUUAAUGUAUAUAAUGUACGUAAUGCACUUAGCAAAGUAUAUGAUACAUAUGUGAUGAAGGAAAUACCUACUUAUAUUUCAACUCAAUUAAUAUUCUUCACAAUUAAGUGGUCUUAAGCAAUCCAUCUCACCCUGUAUUUUACAUGAGGUACUAUGGUAUAUUGGACCCAGGACAGCAGAAUGUGGUUUGCUUCUCAGCAUCAUUGCUGCCUAGAUCAACGGGCUUGCACAUAUUAUUUCUAUAAAUCUUAUACUUCCUGUCUAAAAAUGAUGAUAAAAAUACACGUGUUAAUAAAACUAAGUCUAUUUUUCUUCUAAUUUAGUGCUCUGAAGGUAUAAUUUUUAAAAGCUUCCUAGUGCAGACAUGCUUCAUUGUAUUGGCUUUUUUGACCAUAUUUCUGUGUGAUAAAACAAACCAAUAUUGUGUGAAGGCAACCAUUGGUCCCCAAAUGUUUCAUACAAUGCUCAAUACAUGUUGUUCUCUAAACUCUUCCUCCUCUUCCUUUCUUUUCUCCAAUAUGUUAGCCUCUCUAAGAUUUAUGCAACUCUAUACUAAAAACUUGUAUAAUGAAUAUCUACAUAAAUGAAAGGAUAUAAAAAAUGAACUACUCUCUUUUUAUUUCAAAACUCUAAAGUUGUAGCAUACAUUACUCGUUCUUUAUUACCAGAUGAAAAUUUCUUCAAUGCUACCAAUAGGCCAUUUCUAUUCCCGAGGAUGUAUCUACUUUUAAAAGACUAUCACUGAUUAAAUUCUAGGAUAUUCUUCAAUGCUGACUAUAACUAGACCCUGUGAUGUUUGUCUUCUCUCUCCUGCCCAGGCAGCAUUUCUGUAGUUGGGCAUAUGGACAACAGAUAUUUGAAGCUAUAAAAAAUAAUUCUGAAGAGACCAGUUGACAUCCACUUUUCACACGGCACAAAAGGCUCUUAUCUUUUAGUGGAGGUUGCAAUGUCUUAUGUCCAAGGACACUUGAGUAUUCUGUUGUGACUUGACAUCAAAACAAAUUCAUUGAUGUUCUUCUGUGGGACUACUGACUGGCUUUUUGUUUAUUAUUGUUAUAUUUUAUUUGUAUAGAUAUCUUGCCCUGCUCUGUGCUAAAAAUAGUGAUGUUUUUAUUGUUAGUGCCAUACACUUAAUAAAGCCGCAGUUUUCUUGGCAAUUAAUUGUGCUGACAAUCAAUGCAAGGCUGCAGGCUGUGUGUUUAUGUGCUGAGUUGUUGAUUACUGAAGCCCGAAGAAGUCAGACUGUCAAAAUUAAAUACAUUGCUCAGACAUAAAGCCACAUUCUGUUCUUUGUUUGACCAAAUGACAGUUGAUUAUAGGCUGAGUCUAGACCUGGUUUUGCUUGCAAAGUAGAGAAUAUUUUGUCACCUUUAGGCAAUAAAGUUAGAAAUUUACUUAGGACAAAAUAGCAUGGUAGAAUUACUCAUGUCUGCAUUUUAUCAGGAUGUAGUCUACUUUUGAUAAAAUUUCACUUUUUUGAAGUGUUCUAGCAGAUUUUGGAAAGCAUUUUGCUUUCCACUGAACUUUAAGACAAAAUACAGAUAUAUGUGUGAUGUUUUGGGUAGAUAGUUCCAAUUUACUCAGGUAAUUUCUCCGGAUUAAAUAUGGCUGAUGACUUUGUAUUUUUCUCUCCACUUUUUUUCUUCCAGAAUUUACUACACAACAUUCUUCUGUGACAUUUGACUGUACGUCCUGACUCACUGGAUGUUUAAGCUUUGUCCAGUGAUGAUGGGAAUAAGAGAUCAAAGGUCUUUGAUGAUUGAAAUUGGAAAAAAAUUCAUUCAGGAAAUAACUUUGAGCAAUUUUUGUUUUGUAAUCCAAAUCUAUUUACAGGCAAUGUAAACUAUUUUUUUUAACAAUUCUCAAAUUAGCUCGAAGCUCUCGUUGUUACUUUCCUCAAAGCAUCGUUUAGAUUAAGAACUCAGUCUUUGCUUCUUUACACUUCACAAUAAAUGAAUAUGUAAAACUUAAUUCACACUUAAUUGCCACAACUUUGUUUUUCAUACAUGGAUUUGAGUCAAAUGAACCAUUUUGGACAAAUAAGCCCAUAUUUCAAUAAUAGAAAUAAUGCUGAAGUUCUUAUUUUCCUUCCUUUGUUAUAGCUCUUAAAAUAUUUUCAUACACAUCAUUCCAGACUUACAGGAGAUUAUUUACAUGGCCUAGCAAGUUGUUGAGGACAAACUUGGUUCAGAAGAGGCACUUAACAAAUAUUUGGUUGCUGACUGACUUA
Long non-coding RNA from Equus caballus (horse), 3145 nucleotides. RefSeq lists it as uncharacterized. The record is from RefSeq and is a predicted model, not a curated record. NCBI's taxonomy places the organism in Eukaryota, Metazoa, Chordata, Mammalia, Perissodactyla, Equidae.